Molecule: long non-coding RNA, 1437 nt
Organism: Bos taurus (domestic cattle)
Lineage: Eukaryota; Metazoa; Chordata; Mammalia; Artiodactyla; Bovidae
Source: Ensembl
AGUUGACUCAUUGGAAAAGACUCUGAUGCUGGGAGGGAUUGGGGGCAGGAGGAGAAAGGGACGACAGAGGAUGAGAUGGCUGGAUGGCAUCACUGACUCGAUGGACGUGAGUCUGAGUGAACUCCGGGAGUUGGUGAUGGACAGGGAGGCCUGGCGUGCUGCGAUUCAUGGGGUCGGGAAGAGUCAGACACGACUGAGCGACUGAACUGAACUGAACUCAUUCCUAUUAUUACAUCAAUUCCACCUUAGAUCCUGGAAAUCAGGGACCUCUGUUUUAGGGAAUCUGUUAACAAAUUUUUAAAAGAAGCAAUUGAUAUUCUGAGAAGAGAGAAAAUGGAAUCAUACAAAAUUAAAACCAGUCACUGUCCACACUGCAGCACGUUCAAGGUCUGCCGAUAGCCAGGCAGCUGGAGCAGGAGAGGUAACAACGGGCGAGGCUGUGCCAGCCUGGGUUUGACUUCUAGAGAGGUGCCCAGGGAUGCAGCGGGCAUGCAGUGGCCACUUGCUUCUGCCACUAGGCCUAGGCUCAGGCCCAGGAAAGCAGGGGAGGCAUAACCCAGGCCCUGAAGCACAAAGAGUGGUGUGACACAAACAGCUUGUUAUGAUGAGUUAGGCCUGGGACUCACGGGCGAUGGCUCCCUCCCUCCUUCCCUCAUUCACCUCUCUGGGGAUGCCCUGGGGUUAAAUCUAGCAGUGAUCAUCAAAAGGACACUUACCUGGAAUUGAGAACAGAGGAGUGUCGAGGGUGGGCAGAGCGAGGCUUCCCAGUGUGGACUAUGAGGGGUGUUUUCUGUAGAGAGUUGAGAAGUAGUAAUGAAACCCCUGAAUGGCGCCUGCUUUUUAUUAUCACUCUGCACUGGCAGUUCUUAUCCAAGUCAGUGAUUAACUUUCUCCUCCUGGUAAAAGUCUUUUGCGAGUCUAGGUUCUAAAUGGUCACUGUGGUUACUGUUAAGUUUUAAUAACAGGCUAUUAGCACAGUUUAAAACUACUUUUCCUGUAAUAAACAUGGUGUUCUACAUGGAAGUUAAUCCAGAGAACUUUAUUAUACACUUGGCUCCCCCCACACACCCAGACUCAACUACAGGCAUUUUUUUCUAGUUUGGUAACAGUUUGUAACAGUCAAACUCAACUCCAGACACAGCUGGUGUACCCUCCAGUGUUCCGCACACCCCUGAGUCUGAACAGACUAAGCAGUGACAGCGCUGUGACCGUGAGAGGCGGCAGCAGAGCCCGCGUGACCUCAGGCUUUCAGCGCAUGUGCCGAUCACACUCCAGGCUCACUGGGUUCACUCUUUAUUUAUUUUUGCAAAAAGAAAAAAGACAUUACUGUGACAGAAAUAUUAGUUCAUCACUUUCCCUUUUUUUGUACUGUAAUACUGUAUUUGUUGAUUUGGUUUGUGAAAAAGUCUAUGUGAAGUCCAAUAAAGAAACUUUUCC